GGGGUUGUAGCUCAGUUGGGAGAGCGACAGGUUCGCAAUCUGUAGGUCGAGGGUUCGAUCCCCUUCAGCUCCACCA
Molecule: transfer RNA, 76 nt
Filed under: Alphaproteobacteria bacterium
Lineage: Bacteria; Pseudomonadati; Pseudomonadota; Alphaproteobacteria
Description: tRNA-Ala
Rfam family: tRNA
About the family: Transfer RNA (tRNA) molecules are approximately 80 nucleotides in length. Their secondary structure includes four short double-helical elements and three loops (D, anti-codon, and T loops).
Source: RNAcentral